Molecule: ribosomal RNA, 506 nt
Filed under: uncultured bacterium
Lineage: Bacteria
Description: partial 16S ribosomal RNA
Rfam family: Bacterial small subunit ribosomal RNA
Source: RNAcentral
GACGAACGCUGGCGGCGUGCCUAAUACAUGCAAGUCGAACGCAUUUUCUUUCACCGUAGCUUGCUACACCGAAAGAAAAUGAGUGGCGAACGGGUGAGUAACACGUGGGUAACCUGCCCAUCAGCGGGGGAUAACACUUGGAAACAGGUGCUAAUACCGCAUAAUUCCAUUUACCGCAUGGUAGAUGGGUGAAAGGCGCUUUUGCGUCACUGAUGGAUGGACCCGCGGUGCAUUAGCUAGUUGGUGGGGUAACGGCCUACCAAGGCUGCGAUGCAUAGCCGACCUGAGAGGGUGAUCGGCCACACUGGGACUGAGACACGGCCCAGACUCCUACGGGAGGCAGCAGUAGGGAAUCUUCGGCAAUGGACGCAAGUCUGACCGAGCAACGCCGCGUGAGUGAAGAAGGUUUUCGGAUCGUAAAACUCUGUUGUUAGAGAAGAACAAGGAUGAGAGUGGAAAGUUCAUCCCUGGACGGUAUCGAACCAGAAAGCCACGGCUAACUACGU